CAAAAAUAGUAAUGACAACAGCGGGCGUUCAUUGAGAACUUGUUGCGGGUCAGGAGACUCGUGAAGGCUUCGCAUGGACCCCUUCACGGCGUUCCCACCACCCCUGUGAAGCAGGUGCUGUCGGUGCCCCCCUGGGGAAGUUGGGUACCACGAUUGGGAAAUUGAGGCUCGAGGAUUUGGAGCUUGGAAUGGAUGGAGCUGUCAUUGAACAUGGGUCAGCCUGUCUCCAGAAGCCACACUGAAUGUUCCCUUCAAGGCACAAACAACAAAAUCCAGAACAAAGGCCCCACCUCGCUGCACACAGAGCCUCUUCUGGCUGACUUAGGCGCUCUCCGUGGAUGCAAGAUGGCUUUCUCUCCACCUGCCUCAGCAGGGGGACUACUGGGCACUUUUCAGCAUCACUCCCUUAAGUUGGGGCCAAGAGGCAUUCUGAGACGAACCGCAGGGUCUUGGCCUGGAGACGUCUGGAAUCUUCGGAGUGAGACAGUGAGGAAACUGAGUCUCAGAAGGGAGCCCUGGGGAGCAGACCCAUCCAACCACCAAGUCAUUCCCCAAGAGGCAAGAGAGACACCAGGCAAGAAGAGUGAGUGCAGUGGACACGGGAAGGAUGCUGGUGACAGAGCCACUCCCGCAAUGCAGUGCACGCAUUGACUUGGUCCUCAUGGGAGGUACCAUGGGCUCCAGCUGAAGGUCAGAGAGAAGGCCAUGGCCAAGGUCACUGUGCUGGAAAGCAUCACGGCUGGCUUUGGAGCCCUGGUUGGUCCAUCUGAUGGCAAAGACCCCCUUGCCCAGCCCCCAGCUCAGCGUCCAGCGCCGUCCAGAGCCCCGUGCUUGGUGCUGCAUAGCGCUUGGCAUCCAGCACAUGCUUAACACCCAGGUAGCCUCCCUCCUUGUCCUGGUCCUGCCAGGGUGUGACCUUGGCCGUGUCAUUCUCCGUUUCCAGGCCUCAGUUCCCUGUCUGUGCAGGGAGGGUGGUGCCCCGGGGGGUGUCCUAGCUCCCCUCGCAGCCUCAACAUCCUAGACUUCCACUGCAGAAGCCAGGAAGAGUUGGUGGGGUCUCCUGGGGCUGGGGCAAAUUUGGGGGCCAGGGCUCCUUUCUGGAGGGGCCCAGGAGAGCCCCGCCGACAGCCCCCAGCACCCCCUAAAACAGCAGCCCCGGCCAAGCCUGGCUCCCCACCUCCAUCCCUUGCCCCAUUCCACCAGGCUUGGUCCUCCCCCCCACCCAUCACACCGACACCCUUGCCUCUGACCGGGGCUGCGCCCCACACUGGCCGGUGCCCGAAGCGCCUUGAAAAAUCUCUCUCUGGCAUCCCUUCCCCGACACACAGCCCCAACUGGCAGCGAGGUGAGCAGAGAGUGAGGGGGAGAGAGGAGAGAGCAGAGAGAGCGGGUAGGCAGAGA
Molecule: long non-coding RNA, 1401 nt
Organism: Balaenoptera acutorostrata (minke whale)
Lineage: Eukaryota; Metazoa; Chordata; Mammalia; Artiodactyla; Balaenopteridae
Exons: 3
Source: RefSeq, a predicted model, not a curated record